UGGGGAACCUGCCCCAUAGUCUGGGAUACCACUUGGAAACAGGUGCUAAUACCGGAUAAGAAAGCAGAUCGCAUGAUCAGCUUUUAAAAGGCGGCGUAAGCUGUCGCUAUGGGAUGGCCCCGCGGUGCAUUAGUUAGUUGGUAAGGUAAAGGCUUACCAAGGCGAUGAUGCAUAGCCGAGUUGAGAGACUGAUCGGCCACAUUGGGACUGAGACACGGCCCAAACUCCUACGGGAGGCAGCAGCA
This 245-nucleotide ribosomal RNA is filed under the name uncultured Lactobacillus sp. Its description in RNAcentral is "partial 16S ribosomal RNA". It matches the Rfam family "Bacterial small subunit ribosomal RNA", at positions 118 to 355 of the family's 1533-position model. Lineage: Bacteria; Bacillati; Bacillota; Bacilli; Lactobacillales; Lactobacillaceae. The record is from RNAcentral.